This 250-nucleotide ribosomal RNA is filed under the name uncultured prokaryote. RNAcentral describes it as "partial 16S rRNA". It matches the Rfam family "Bacterial small subunit ribosomal RNA", at positions 525 to 775 of the family's 1533-position model. The record is from RNAcentral.
ACGUAGGUGGCAAGCGUUGUCCGGAAUUAUUGGGCGUAAAGCGCGCGCAGGCGGGCAAGAAAGGAGGUACGAAAAGUGCGAGGCUCAACCUCGUGAGGGGACAGAAACUGGUAUUCUUGAGUGUCGGAGAGGAAAGUGGAAUUCCAAGUGUAGCGGUGAAAUGCGUAGAGAUUUGGAAGAACACCAGUGGCGAAGGCGACUUUCUGGACGAUGUCUGACGCUGAGGCGCGAAAGCUAGGGGAGCGAACGG